Molecule: long non-coding RNA, 178 nt
Organism: Coregonus clupeaformis (lake whitefish)
Lineage: Eukaryota; Metazoa; Chordata; Actinopteri; Salmoniformes; Salmonidae
Exons: 3
Source: RefSeq, a predicted model, not a curated record
AGUGCUCCCUCCAUUGAGGACUCUAUGGCGAUGGUUGCCGUGGCCCUGGGGAUUUAUGGUUUGAUCAAGGUCCUCUCCUGGACAUUUAGCUCUGGGCCCGAUGAUGCUAACUCACAAGAGAAGGAAGUGAAGUAAAUGUGGAAACAUCUGGGAUUCCCAGGUGAGUGUGUAAUGGAAC